RNAcentral lists this long non-coding RNA (214 nucleotides) under Capra hircus (goat). RNAcentral's name for it is "lncRNA (ENSCHIG00010022447.1)". Lineage: Eukaryota; Metazoa; Chordata; Mammalia; Artiodactyla; Bovidae. The record is from RNAcentral.
ACUCAACCGUGGUGUUGCUCACGGUUUCCUCAUCUAUAAAAUGAGAAUGACAAUGUUACCUGCUUAAUGGGGGGCGGUCAGUGAGGACUAACUGAUGUCCUACACUGACAGGUGACCAAGUAGGACACUCAGGACUCUGACCACUCACAGGAAGAACUCGUGAAUGUCCACCAGCAUCCGCCUUGUCAUCAUCACUGCCCGUCUUAUCAUGGUC